Molecule: ribosomal RNA, 483 nt
Filed under: uncultured bacterium
Lineage: Bacteria
Description: partial 16S ribosomal RNA
Rfam family: Bacterial small subunit ribosomal RNA
Source: RNAcentral
GACGAACGCUGGCGGCGUGCUUAACACAUGCAAGUCGAACGCUGAAGCCCAGCUGUUGUUGGGCGGGUGAGUGGCGAACGGGUGAGUAACACGAGAGUAACCUGCCCCGUGCAUUGGGAUAACGCCCGGAAACGGGUUCUAAUACUGGAUAUUCGCUUGUCAUCGGAUGGGGGUUGGGGGAUAGGGUAUUUCUGGGGGUGGAUGGGCUCGCGGCCUAUCAGCUUGUUGGUGGGGUGAUGGCCUACCAAGGCUUUGACGGGUAGCCGGCCUGAGAGGCUACCCGGUCACAUUGGGACGGCGAUAAGGCCCAGACUCCUACGGGAGGCAGAAGUGGGGAAAAUUGCACAAUGGGUGAAAGAGUAAUGCAGCGACGCCGCGUGAGGGAUGGAGGCCUUCGGGUUGUGAUCCUCUUUAGCUAAUGGUCAAGCCGCAACAAUGGUUGUGGUGAGGGUAGUGGGUAAAGAAGCGCCGGCUAACUACGUG